Molecule: long non-coding RNA, 448 nt
Filed under: Homo sapiens (human)
Lineage: Eukaryota; Metazoa; Chordata; Mammalia; Primates; Hominidae
Description: HSALNT0403355
Source: RNAcentral
CAGAAGCCAGUCCUUGGUGCGGCCCGCUGAAAAAUUGGAAUGUUGCAUGCCAGGUCCAAUGCUUUUCCUCCCCUAGGAUAAGCUGUGAAAAGAGGUUUCUUCCCAAUCAUGUGGCACUGUACUGAGGGACAGGCUGUGAGAGAAAACUCUUGAGUUCUCCCUGAAAGGAGACUAAAGAACAAUCCUCUGCAGAUGUGUCUGAAUCCUAAAAUGAACUUAAGUCAAGCAUGAUCCCUAAGGCUGCUCAGGGAGAGAGAACCUAGAAACCUGGCAUGCUGGCAAAAGGAGACCAUCAAGCUUCAGAUGAUCAUGCAACAAAAGUCCCAGCUAGUUCCAGGUGAAGACAACACACCUGGCCUUCAAAAAGCUACUCUGCCUCCACUAGAGAGAACAGGGCGAGAGUUCCAUGAUCCCCAGUAGGUAAGGACUACACCCCAAGCCAGCAUGA